GCCAGGUGUGGUGGCACCCACCUGUAGUCCCAGCUACUCGGGAGGCUGAGGUGGGAGGAUCGCUUGAGCCCAGGAGGCUGAGGCUGCAGUGAGCUGCAUUCAAACCACUGCAUUCCAGCCUGGGUGACAAAGUGAGACCACAUCUCUA
Pongo abelii (Sumatran orangutan) is the source of this 148-nucleotide unclassified non-coding RNA. It matches the Rfam family "Metazoan signal recognition particle RNA". Rfam says of the family: The signal recognition particle (SRP) is a universally conserved ribonucleoprotein. It is involved in the co-translational targeting of proteins to membranes. The eukaryotic SRP consists of a 300-nucleotide 7S RNA and six proteins: SRPs 72, 68, 54, 19, 14, and 9. The record is from Ensembl. NCBI's taxonomy places the organism in Eukaryota, Metazoa, Chordata, Mammalia, Primates, Hominidae.